This 490-nucleotide ribosomal RNA is filed under the name uncultured bacterium. RNAcentral describes it as "partial 16S ribosomal RNA". It matches the Rfam family "Bacterial small subunit ribosomal RNA", at positions 30 to 507 of the family's 1533-position model. The record is from RNAcentral.
AUUGAACGCUGGCGGCAGGCCUAACACAUGCAAGUCGAACGGUAACAGGAAGAAGCUUGCUUCUUUGCUGACGAGUGGCGGACGGGUGAGUAAUGUCUGGGAAACUGCCUGAUGGAGGGGGAUAACUACUGGAAACGGUAGCUAAUACCGCAUAACGUCGCAAGACCAAAAAGGGGGACCUUCGGGCCUCUUGCCAUCGGAUGUGCCCAGAUGGGAUUAGCUAGUAGGUGGGGUAACGGCUCACCUAGGCGACGAUCCCUAGCUGGUCUGAGAGGGUGACCAGCCACACUGGAACUGAGACACGGUCCAGACUCCUACGGGAGGCAGCAGUGGGGAAUAUUGCGCAAUGGGCGCAAGCCUGAUGCAGCCAUGCCGCGUGUAUGAAGAAGGCCUUCGGGUUGUAAAGUACUGUCAGCGGGGAGGAAGGGAGUAAAGUUAAUACCUUCGCUCAUUGACGUUACCCGAAGAAGAAGCACCGGCUAACUCCGUG